GCAGUCGAGCGGACCGACGGGAGCUUGCUCCCUUAGGUCAGCGGCGGACGGGUGAGUAACACGUGGGUAACCUGCCUGUAAGACUGGGAUAACUCCGGGAAACCGGGGCUAAUACCGGAUGCUUGAUUGAACCGCAUGGUUCAAUCAUGAAAGGCGGCUUCGGCUGCCGUUUACAGAUGGACCCGCGGCGCAUUAGCUAGUUGGUGAGGUAACGGCUCACCAAGGCGACGAUGCGUAGCCGACCUGAGAGGGUGAUCGGCCACACUGGGACUGAGACACGGCCCAGACUCCUACGGGAGGCAGCAGUAGGGAAUCUUCCGCAAUGGACGAAAGUCUGACUGAGCAACGCCGCGUGAGUGAUGAAGGUUUUCGGAUCGUACAGCUCUGUUGUUAGGGAAGAACAAGUACCGUUCGAAUAGGGCGGUACCUUGACGGUACCUAACCAGAAAGCCACGGCUAACUACGUGCCAGCAGCCGCGGUAAUACGUACGUGGCAAGCGUUGUCCGGAAUUAUU
RNAcentral lists this ribosomal RNA (515 nucleotides) under Bacillus sp. PSu1_38. RNAcentral describes it as "bacterial SSU rRNA". It matches the Rfam family "Bacterial small subunit ribosomal RNA", at positions 57 to 555 of the family's 1533-position model. Lineage: Bacteria; Bacillati; Bacillota; Bacilli; Caryophanales; Bacillaceae. The record is from RNAcentral.